AGUGAACGCUGGCGGUAGGCCUAACACAUGCAAGUCGAACGGCAGCACAGUAAGAGCUUGCUCUUACGGGUGGCGAGUGGCGGACGGGUGAGGAAUACAUCGGAAUCUACUUUUUCGUGGGGGAUAACGUAGGGAAACUUACGCUAAUACCGCAUACGACCUACGGGUGAAAGCAGGGGAUCUUCGGACCUUGCGCGACUGAAUGAGCCGAUGUCGGAUUAGCUAGUUGGCGGGGUAAAGGCCCACCAAGGCGACGAUCCGUAGCUGGUCUGAGAGGAUGAUCAGCCACACUGGAACUGCGGCACGGUCCAGACUCCUACGGGAGGCAGCAGUGGGGAAUAUUGGACAAUGGGCGCAAGCCUGAUCCAGCCAUACCGCGUGGGUGAAGAAGGCCUUCGGGUUGUAAAGCCCUUUUGUUGGGGAAGAAAAGCAGCAGGUUAAUACCCCGCUGUUCUGACGGUACCCAAAGAAUAAGCACCGGCUAACUUCGUG
RNAcentral lists this ribosomal RNA (492 nucleotides) under uncultured bacterium. Its description in RNAcentral is "partial 16S ribosomal RNA". It matches the Rfam family "Bacterial small subunit ribosomal RNA", at positions 29 to 507 of the family's 1533-position model. The record is from RNAcentral.